GGGAUAGUGGUUUGUGCAACUAUUGAAGCUUUGGAAAUUAAGUUAGUCCUGCAACUACCCUAUCUGUGCAUGAAUGGGCAGAGAAGCCUAAAUCAUCAUCAUCUUGUUCUUCUUCAAACUGACGUUAAAUUGAGCAUUAGUUCUAAAUCACAGUUCCAUGAUAUAAAGAAAGGCAGAACAGAGAUGUGUAAGCCAUAUUUU
This 201-nucleotide unclassified non-coding RNA is filed under the name Hevea brasiliensis (rubber tree). Lineage: Eukaryota; Viridiplantae; Streptophyta; Magnoliopsida; Malpighiales; Euphorbiaceae. The record is from RNAcentral.